GGCGCCACCAAGGGGAGCCCCGGCAAGGGGCUGAGAAACCGCUGGCCUCGAUCGUCCCGGCGACGGGCGGCGCGGUGACCCUUUGAACCUGACCCGGAUCAUGCCGGCGGAGGAAUGGGACAGAUGCACCUG
RNAcentral lists this non-coding RNA (132 nucleotides) under Paracoccus denitrificans. RNAcentral's name for it is "TPP sequence". It matches the Rfam family "TPP riboswitch aptamer (THI element)". From Rfam's summary of the family: Vitamin B(1) in its active form thiamin pyrophosphate (TPP) is an essential coenzyme that is synthesised by coupling of pyrimidine and thiazole moieties in bacteria. The previously detected thiamin-regulatory element, thi box was extended, resulting in a new, highly conserved RNA secondary structure, the THI element, which is widely distributed in eubacteria and also occurs in some archaea. Analysis of operon structures identified a large number of new candidate thiamin-regulated genes, mostly transporters, in various prokaryotic organisms. The record is from RNAcentral. Lineage: Bacteria; Pseudomonadati; Pseudomonadota; Alphaproteobacteria; Rhodobacterales; Paracoccaceae. RNAcentral also lists the same sequence under 1 other name.